UGGCUUAGGAUGAACGCUGGCGGCGUGCUUAACACAUGCAAGUUGCGCGGUGAUCUCAAGAAGUUUCGGACGGAAAGGGAGAGCAGCAGCGGACGGGUGAGUAAAGCACAAGGACUUGUCCCGAAGAGGGGGACAACUGUGGGAAACCACAGCUAAUACCCCAUAAGCCGAGAGGUGAAAGCAGCGAUGCGCUUUAGGAGAGACUUGUGUCCUAUCAGGUAGUUGGUGAGGUAACGGCUCACCAAGCCGAAGACGGGUAGCCGGACUGAGAGGUUGUACGGCCACAUUGGAACUGAGAGACGGUCCAGACUCCUACGGGAGGCAGCAGUGGGGAAUAUUGGGCAAUGGGGGGCCAACCCUGACCCAGCGACGCCGCGUGAGGGAAGACAGCCUUCGGGUUGUAAACCUCUGUUGCAGGGGAAGAAGAAAGUGACGGUACCCUGCGAGGAAGCUCCGGCAAACUACGUGCCAGCCGCCGC
Molecule: ribosomal RNA, 479 nt
Filed under: uncultured bacterium
Lineage: Bacteria
Description: bacterial SSU rRNA
Rfam family: Bacterial small subunit ribosomal RNA
Source: RNAcentral